RNAcentral lists this signal recognition particle RNA (230 nucleotides) under Thermoguttaceae bacterium. Its description in RNAcentral is "signal recognition particle sRNA large type". The stretch from base 98 to 194 matches the Rfam family "Bacterial small signal recognition particle RNA". Lineage: Bacteria; Pseudomonadati; Planctomycetota; Planctomycetia; Pirellulales; Thermoguttaceae. The record is from RNAcentral.
UUUUGCUGGAAAUUUGAAAAAAGAGGAGUUUUUUUCAUCGCCCCCCCUUCCGGGAAAUGAAAAAUCUGGUAGAAUGCUUUUUAUUGAGAGGACCUUCAGAAUGGGUCCUGGCAACGGGAGAGCACGAACCUGGUCAGGGGUUUGCGCCAGCAGCCAUAAGUGUCGCCUUUCGUGUGUUCAGGAUCCUUUCUGGAGGUCUUUUUCAUUGAGGAUAUUCCAGUUGUGUAAAA